Molecule: ribosomal RNA, 820 nt
Filed under: uncultured beta proteobacterium
Lineage: Bacteria; Pseudomonadati; Pseudomonadota; Betaproteobacteria
Description: partial 16S ribosomal RNA
Rfam family: Bacterial small subunit ribosomal RNA (bases 3-407)
Source: RNAcentral
UAGAGUUUGAUCCUGGCUCAAAAUCUGCGCUGGCGGCGUGCCUAACACAUGCAAGUCGGACGAGAAAGUGGACCAAUCCAUGAGUAGAGUGGCGCACGGGUGGAUAACUCGUGACUAACCUACCCAGGAGUGGGGGAUAACUGAGGGAAACCUUAUGUAAUACCGCGUAACACCUACGGGACGAAUGAGCAAUUCCCUUCUGGAGGGAGGUACGGCCGAUUAGUUAGUUGCUAGGGUGGUCGGGUGCCAAGACAAUGAUCGGAAUCCGGUCAGAUGAGGCGCACCGACACGCUGCGGAAUGAAGGAGGGUCCCCAGUUCCUGCGGACAGGAUCGAAUGAGAAUUUGUGAGCGAUGGGCAGGAGCGGCAACGGUCAUCGGGUGCUGUANNGCUUACGAAUCUCGNUGUGGAAACGGGGAUGGAUGGCAGGAGGAAGUGAGUGGAUCAUUUAGNGGGAGGGCUGGUGUCCUGUUACGCAGCGAGUGCACGGGUANCGAUGGACGGUCGNUGGANUGGCGGGCGCGAAGGCGCGCACGCUGGGUAGGUAAUCGNGUUGUGUAUUNCUCGUCUGACGCCGGACGGGGGCCUGGNGUCAUUCGGGCCAGUGGAGACGGAGAAUUGNGCUGUUGGCCGUACCGAGAGUUGCGCUAUGUAGCGGGCGGCGNACGCACUGGGAAAUGUUUGCUGCCGUUGCCCGCCCGGGCGGGUCACUGCGUUGGUUCGCAGUGCGAGACAGUCCCGUCUGCUCCGUCGGCUGGUGAGAUUUAGUUUGGUAUCGCGCAUGAGGAGCCGCGGGUCUCCGGCAGUGGGGUUGUCUGUAC